RNAcentral lists this ribosomal RNA (254 nucleotides) under uncultured bacterium. Its description in RNAcentral is "partial 16S ribosomal RNA". It matches the Rfam family "Bacterial small subunit ribosomal RNA", at positions 524 to 776 of the family's 1533-position model. The record is from RNAcentral.
CACGUAGGGUGCGAGCGUUGUCCGGAAUUAUUGGGCGUAAAGAGCUCGUAGGCGGUGUGUCGCGUCGACCGUGAAAACCUGCAGCUUAACUGUGGGCGUGCGGUCGAUACGGGCAUCACUGGAGUUCGGCAGGGGAGACUGGAAUUCCUGGUGUAGCGGUGAAAUGCGCAGAUAUCAGGAGGAACACCGGUGGCGAAGGCGGAUCUCUGGGCCUUACCUGACGCUCAGGUGCGAAAGCUAGGGGAGCGAACAGG